RNAcentral lists this ribosomal RNA (253 nucleotides) under uncultured bacterium. RNAcentral describes it as "partial 16S ribosomal RNA". It matches the Rfam family "Bacterial small subunit ribosomal RNA", at positions 524 to 776 of the family's 1533-position model. The record is from RNAcentral.
UACGGAGGGUGUGAGCGUUAUUCGGAAUUAUUGGGCGUAAAGAGCGCGUAGGCGGUCUCUUAAGUCAGAUGUGAAAGCCCAGGGCUCAACCCUGGAAGUGCAUUUGAAACUAAGGGACUUGAGUAUGGGAGAGGGAAGUGGAAUUCCUGGUGUAGCGGUGAAAUGCGUAGAUAUCAGGAGGAACAUCGGUGGCGAAGGCGACUUCCUGGACCAAUACUGACGCUGAGGCGCGAAGGCGUGGGGAGCAAACAGG